UGUGUGCAUGGAUGGUCCACUUUGUGACUAAUCAUUGAACACACAUUUAUGAUUUGUGCACUUUGGGGCAUAUGUGUUAUUUUCUUAAAGAGAAAAAUGAAUUGAGUCCUGGCUCCAGGCCAGAAUAAUUAGGUCAGAGUCCCUGGGAGAGGGUUCAGGUGACUCUGACAUGUACUGGGGCUGCCCACCUGACCUGGCUUACAUGGCCAACCUCUUGUCUCCCCCUCUCCCUUGCCUGCUCCUGCCCACCUCCUUUCUGUCCCUUGAACAUGCCUCUUGUUUUCGGGCACCAACUGUUUGCACUUGCCUGUGUGUUCCCUGGGAUGGGAAGGCUGUCUCCUGCCUGGCUCCCUCAAGUCACGCCCUACAGUGACCUUCCCUGGCCCGUCCAUCUAAAAUGGGCUGCUCAUCCCAGCCACUUUCUGUUCUAUCAUUCUGUUUAUUUCCUUUACUCUUUUGCGGUAGAGACAAUGUCCUGUGGUCAUCAAAUUCCAUUUCAUUUGCGUCUUCCUAGAUUUCGAAGAAGACUGUGUUUUUCAACCUCCCUUGCAGUUAGGUUGGGGCCGGUAGUUUGUGGACAGAGGUGACAGACGCCACAUCCAGACCUUGCCACAGAACCUCUUGUGGGACCGUCCACACCCCCUAUUCCUCUUCCACACCACCUGUGUAAGACGGAAGAGCCCAGGACGUAAGGAGCCUGGAGCCCGGAGUCACUGACAGGAGGAGAGCUGCCAGGUGGGGCUGCUGAACCACACUGAUCAUAGGUGAGAAAUGACCUUUCCACAAAGCACUGAGCUUUCAGGCUUUGUUUGGGCCUGCGCGAGUGUAGACUAUCCUGACUCAUGCGGCACUUACCGCAAUCUGAGAUUACCUUGUUGGAUUUCUGUCUCUUUGUCUAGAACGUGAGCUCCUGUUUACAGCUGUAUUUCCAGCCCACGGGCACAGGCCCGGCAUGCAGAAGCCCAGCAGCAUUCCAUGCAGGCGAUAAAUAGUUCAGUGUCGAGAGGACUCUGGAGACAGAGAUGAUGUUCUCAGGGUGGGAGGGGGGAAGUCUGCAGGAGAGAGCGUGGGUCUUGGGUUCCCUUUCUGAGUGGUAGUCUCUCCAUCUGUAAUAGCACGCAGGCUUGUUGGAAGGACGGCAUGCAAUCAUCGCUUAUGAACACCUAGCAUGUUGCAGGGUGGAGAGGCGGCCUGUAAUACUCCCUAGGAUUGCAGAUGCAGACGGGCAGACAGGGGAAUUGAAGGCUCGAGUCAAGAACGGUCGGCCAGCACCUGCAUUCGGUGGUGGAGGGGGCUGCACUUUCAGAUGGGAGUGGGGUGGAGGUACGCUCAUUGCCGGGUUGGCUUGGGGAGAGGUGCUCAGGGCACUCUGCACCCCUCCUGGGUGGUGGGAGGCACCUCCAGGUGCAGAGCGACACAAUGUUCCCCAUUCAGGGAGGCAAGCUGGCCUUGGACACACCUGGAAAUCCCAGCAGGGCAGUCCUUGCACCCUUGGGUCCUCUGCCUGUCUCCUCUUUCACCUUCUGCUGCUUGCGCCCCCUGCAGCUCCACUGUCCUCUACCUGUCACCUGGCCCAGUCUCACCUGUCUGCAGAUUCACCCCGGUUACGCUGCUGAAUUUCCUUUCCUGGGACCUCUGCAUGUUUAGAGAUGACUGCUGGAGAUCGGAGAGUCUUCACACGGAAUGAGAGACCAAGUGGUGAUGAGGGCCCUGACGACAUCCUGCUCAUGGAUGGACCUGGAAACACGCCCCAAGAAAGAAAUCAGACACACAGGACCCGUGCGGUGUGACGGCCCCUGUGUGAGAUGUCCAGGACAGGUGCGUGCGGAUAGACCGCAGAGCACCGAAGAGCAAAGUGUCCUCGCCCUUUGUCCCCUCCUCUGACUUGUGAGCUCGUGUGGUCUUGAGGAACUGCAUCCAGAAGACGUCACCUGUGUCCCGAGACCGACCAGGUGCCCCACUGAGACGAGCCCCUCGAUGUCCUGCUGACGCGCUGACCCAAGAGCCCUUGAGCCUCCUUUGAGGCGCCCAGGGAAGCAGCCAUGCUAGCUGCUCAGCGGGCUUGGGAUGCUCGUUAUGACCCCUGUGUUCUUCCUUAUGGUGCAAGGCUGGUCUUUAUGGCGACCUCAACGUUUUCCACGACAGAAUAAUGUCGGCGCUCGGUGUCCAGGCCUGUACUUGGUGGGCUUCUAGAGUCUGGCCAGGGUUGGUAUGUGUGGCUGGAACACUGAGGAUGCACCAAGAGCAUGUGGGGUGGGGGGGAGGUACUUGGAGGUUUAAAGACCGCGCUAUAGUCUCCCCAUGAGCUCACAGAACAGGCCACUGAGAAUCAGGUCAGAAGAGGUUUCCAGUGCUCGGCGCGUGCUCUCCCGGCCCUCUCCCACUGUCUUCCUCCUCUCCCCACACAAACCACCCCUCCACCUCCCUCAGCACCUGCCCCCAACCAGGUACCACGCAGGAGCAUGUUUCCAGAUCUGCUCACUUGCUCCGUGCCACGACGUGCAUGAGUCUGUGGGAGGGGGGACAGGUUUGUCUGGACAAAGUGGAGCUCUCCAGGAUGGAGAAGGACGCGAGGCCAUUCAAAAUCAAGAAACCCAUUAGCUGUGUCUUCACAGAGGCCGGGAAGCUGAACCUCAGCCCGGGGAGCUGUCCUGCUGCCAUGUCCAGUGUCCUGAGCUCAUCACCGUGUUGCUCUGUGCAGACUGUGCUUUUCUUGGAGGCUCAUUUGUCAAGCAUCCCCGGCCCUUGAAUGGAAGGGGUCGCCGCCAGAUUGGAACUGUGUCUUGAUUCUUGUUUUCUGCUGGUGUUCCCACUAACGAAGGGCAGCUGCAGGAGAAAAGCAUCCUGGGGGCCUAGACAUGGUGGGAGUGGAGCUCCGUGCUGAAGACCCCGGACAAGGUGCCACAUCACUUGCUCCUUGCCGUCUGAACAUGUGGCCACCUGUAUUUUCUAACCGCUAGCUACGUGCACCAAGAAGCAGAGGUGUCGGGAGGCCAGCCAGCAGCUGUGAGCCUGUGAAUCUCCAGUCAGACCCAACUCCUUAAGAGCAAAAGGAGCGGGGCUUGGGCGCCCCUGGCCGCUGUGGUUCUUCAUCUUGGUGUCUCUCUCCAGUCUGUCGGCACCGGCACUGGGGCUGCUUCUGUGGGGCCCUCUCCCGUGUCUCCCUUCCUUGCCCUUUCUCUUCCACACCCCUCACCCUGCUCGCCUUAUUUCCUGCACCCUAGUUUCCAGGUACUCCUUGUCUUCUACUUGGACCAUUGCCGAGGCCUCCCUGUCACCCUCCCCCCCCCGAGAUUCCAAGCCUGUAUAUCCCAUUGUCGUCACAGAAGUCUUUCAGAAGCAGAGCUACUUCUAUGGCAUACUGCUGCUCAAGAACAUUCAGUGGCUCCCUGUUACCUAACGUAAAGAAGUCCAGACUCCUUGGCAUGGCCUUGGACCCCCUCCGAUUUGGCCCUGAGUUGACUUUAUGGACGUGGCCUGCCUCAUUUCCCACCCUAACCCCACUCCCCAUUCCCCCAACUCCUGGCUGGAGUUAAACGGGAUGGCCUGCUUACACCUCCCAUCUGUGUCCACCCCGCAUGGGCUUUGGGCUGGAGAGUUCUGUGAAGGAGACGACAUCCCAGUGAUCUUCCAGUCCACACUACCUACCCUCCCCUUCCCCUGAACUCAGAGUGUUUACGGGCUGGGUCACUCUGCAUGGAAAUUCAUUGAUUCAACAAACGCUGCCCAUUGACACGAUGCUUUGGUUCAGCUUGUCCUGAACUUUCCUGGACAAACUCCCGCCACACAUUCUCAGUCCUAUGGCGUUUUCAGCUCCUUGUUGCUCCUUGUCACAAAGAGGCUACUGUACCACUUCCCAAGUCCCACCCUAUAAGCACCUAGGGUUUUCUUAUCUUUCCAUCCUUCUGUUCUUUAACUCACCAUGUGCUUACAGAGUUCCUGUUCUGUGCCGAGCACUGGGGGUACCGUGGGGGUGAGGUGGACCCUGUCCUCCUGUUGUGUGAGGCGAGGUGGACGGGACCCCCCAGCCCCAGCACUGUGUAGUGAGCAUGAAAAGGUGUGGGUGCUAGGAAGCAGGUGAGGGGGGCUGUGUGGUCUUGGGGUGUCAGGAGCCCCGUCUCUACAGAGGGGACUUUCAGCUGACAUUGGAAGGAUGACUGGGUGUUGGACAUAAGAGUGGGAGCAUCUGGAGACACACCAGGAAGGUGUGUGAAAGGCAGGAAGCAUGUCCCAAGGGACUGGCAAGGGCUGGGUGUGACACCAUCAGAGUUGCCUUUUGCGAAGGUGACCCUCUGCUGAAUCCGGCCCACUGCCUGUUUUUGUCCAUAAAGCUUUAUUGGCACCCAGCUGUGCCCAUUAGUUUAUGUUUUGCCAAUGGCUGCUUUCUAGAUGUGGAAUUGUGGAACCAAAGGCCACGUGGCCCACAGCGCCGGACAUAUUUACACGGACCUCUUAUGAAGUGCUUGCAGACCACUCUGUUAAAAAGCUGGGUUGAGGGGCGCCUGGGUGGCUCAGUUGGUUAAGCGACUGCCUUCGGCUCAGGUCAUGAUCCUGGAGUCCCUGGAUCGAGUCCCGCAUCGGGCUCCCUGCUCGGCAGGGAGUCUGCUUCUCCCUCUGACCCUCCCCCAUCUCGUGCUCUCUCUCUCGGUCUCAUUCUCUCUCUCAAAUAAAUAAAUAAAAUCUUAAAAAAAAAAAAAAAGCUGGGUUGGGGGUGCCUGGGUGGCUCAGUCGGUUAAGUGGCUGCCUUUGGCUCAGAUCAUGAUCCCAGGGUCCUGGGAUCGAGCCCCACGUCGGGCUCCCCCCUCAGCGGGGAGCCUGCUUCUCCCUCUCCCUCUGCCUGCCGCUCCCCCUGCUUGUACUCUCCCUCUAUCUCUAUCAAAUAAAUAAAUAAAAUCUUUAAAAAAAAAAAAAAAGCUGGGUU
Mirounga angustirostris (Northern elephant seal) is the source of this 4921-nucleotide long non-coding RNA. RefSeq lists it as uncharacterized. The transcript has 3 exons. NCBI's taxonomy places the organism in Eukaryota, Metazoa, Chordata, Mammalia, Carnivora, Phocidae. The record is from RefSeq and is a predicted model, not a curated record.